RNA transcript from Olea europaea var. sylvestris, 2561 nucleotides. It is a transcript of the gene named DExH-box ATP-dependent RNA helicase DExH5, mitochondrial-like, with no coding region annotated. The record is from RefSeq and is a predicted model, not a curated record. Lineage: Eukaryota; Viridiplantae; Streptophyta; Magnoliopsida; Lamiales; Oleaceae. The transcript has 6 exons.
CUAUUAUUUUUAUUUUUAUAUUUUUUCAUCUUCACCCAACCUCAUCUCCAUUUUCACACGCCAUAACACAGACAACCAUCUCCUCAUCCAUUUUCACACGUAAAAGAACUAGCCAAUAUUUUUAUCCAAAAAUUUAGGAAAAUCGAAUGUCUAAAGCAUCACCUCAGGCGUGGUUGAAGCAAAAGAAAAACAACUGUCCGUGAAGCUAAUUGCUCCAACAACGGUUGCGGCUCAAAUUCCGGUCCACCAAGUUUUGUCUCCGCGCAGCGUGGAGCUCCGUGAGGUCUCCGAGCAGUUGCCUCCACGGAGCGCGGAUCUUGACUUCAACCCGGAAUGUAAUCUUUGGCGUAUUGUUCUGCUGGUGUUCCUCCUACUGCCGGCCCUAGGGCCUAAAAAAAAAAAAGUCAAUCUCAAACAAUCGAGGCGGUGAUAGGGCAGGCUCGCCAUUUUUAUUUGCCAGGAGUAAGAUCAAUUGAGCAAGUAGGAAUGACAGGGGAUAGCCCAAUUUUUUAUCUCCCAACUGUGUUUCUGCUUCUCCUUAUAGCUUAUUCACUUCUCAUUUUGUGUUGAUUUUACUUUUUUACUGCUUCAUAUUUGUACACUUCUAAUAAUGUUUGGUGUGCUAGCUAAUUAUUUUCAACAAAUUACAAAUUACACUUAUAAUGAAUGUUUGAAUGGGACAAGCGAAUCAUGAAGUAAAGUUGUUCGAUUAAAUGCUUCAGUAAGGCCAUUGUUUAUUUAGUUUCCAGCUGGAGGGUUCUACAUGGCGUGGCUAAUCAUCAUCGUAUUAUUAAUUGUACUUUGGGUGCAAAUUUUGUUGUGGAUUCCAAAGCUGCAUUCUUAAAUGAUGGAAUGGUUUUCCGAUAGAGAAAUGUGUUGCUGGUUAUUGCGCACCCUGAUGAUGAGUCUGGGUAUAGUUCAGAGCUUAAUGUUCUCUAGAUUCAAGUGCCCGGGUAACACUGAUCAAGGAUAAGAAGAAAUAUGAUUUUGUGAUUUUGCAGGAUUGAACUUGUGGUUCAUUCUGUACAAAUUUUAGCUGCUGUAGCUGUAUAUUAUAGGCAGAAGGGAUAUUUCACGGGAGCCAUGAUUUUACUAUCAAAUUGUUAGAGCUACUUGAAAGUUAAGAAAUAUUGCUCAAGGUUUAACUUCUUACAAGCUUGUUCCAAGCUACAUUAACGAUGUUAAAAUUGCUAAUGGUUCAGUAUUUGAAGAGUGUGUUUCUUUGUGCUGUGUUUACUACUGGAAUUAAAAAGAGUGAAAAGGAAGGUGAUUAAUUGAGAUUCAGGCUUAGACAUUUUAGAGUUAGAAGAAUAUUAAAAACAGUUCUUCUAUCUUACCUGAAUCUUAUACGUGUUUUAAAAGGGAUUUUGUUACUGUUUUCUGGCAAUGAAGCAUAAGAAGGGAAUCUGUAGAAACAAUUCAUAUCCUAUCAUUUAUAUUUUACCAAACAAAUUGACUUGAUGGAGGGUACAUCGUCUAGAAAUGAAUAGGCAGGUGUGGAAUGUGUAAACAAUGGAGAUUUCGUAUUUGAGAAGCCCUUUUUACAUAAUCCCACUGUUAAAUCUGCCUAUUUAAUUGCAUUCCUAAUAUCUCUAUGGCAGGUUUGGAAGGAAUUGGCUGCUGUUAGAUUGGCUGCUUCUAUAAGAAUGUAUAUCCGUUCAACAACCACCAUACACGUAUAUUUAACAUUUAGCAACUAACGUGCAACACACCUUUUCCUCACUAUAUUGUUGAAAUGUUUAGAGAACUUGGCAUUGGGAUAGUAGCAUACAUUUCUCUUGGACGGGGAUUCUUCUCAUCUGGUCCAAAACGGGUUGAAAUUUUCAGUGAAGGGGACAAACGAAAGAGAAGAGGAAGAGCUGGACGUGUUCAGCCUGGAGAAUGUUAUCAUCUCUAUCCAAGAUUUGUAUAUGAUGCUUUUGCAGAUUAUCAAUUACCAGAAAUUUUAAGGACCCCGCUGCAGUCUCUUUGCUUACAAAUUAAAAGUCUGAAACUGGGUAGUAUUUCCAAGUUCCUGUCAAGGGCAUUGCAGUCACCUGAGAAUCUAGUGGUAAUGCUUAUUCAAAUAUGUUUCUGUUUUAUGGAAAGAGCUUGCAUCAUGACUCACAUGGAAAUACAUAUGUCAACAAUAAUGUCUUGAGGUUGUCAUACAACUUUUCCUUCACAUUUGCUGCUAAGGUUCAAAAUGCUAUUGAAUAUUUAAAGAUCAUUGGGGCUUUGGAUGAGACUGAAAAUUUGACUAUUGAAUAAGACUCCUAAUUUCUCAAUUUUAUGCUUAUUGAGGUUGCAUUCUCGUAUAAGUUUGGCUGAUGUCCUUGACAAUGCUUCCAAUGGGGCCAAAACUUGGUAAAAUGCUUAUACUUGGUGCUAUAUUGAAUUGCCUGGACCCAAUGUCAAGUGUUGUCGCUGCUCUAAGUGUCCUGAUCCUUUUUUAACCCCAGUGGACAAGAAGGAAGUAAGUCAAACUUCGAAAUUUUAGUAAUUAUAUUAUGAAUUGUGUGGAUCUUGCAGAUACACUGUUGACAUAGUCACACUCAAUUCUGAUGCUAUUCAUCAUUUGC